CAAGCUUCAGAAGGUCCACUCUCUAGCGCAAUAAAUCUGGAUUGUUUGCUUACCGUACUUUAACCUAUCCUCACUUGGUUCUGGUUAUAGUUUUUUUCCUUUCCUUCCAGUUGUUCCAAUGGGAUGUACUUAGAAGGAUCGAGAGUACAGUGUCACAUGCUGGAAGCAAGUCAUUUGGUAAGAACUGAUUCUUAUUAAGCUCGAUUAAUAUAUAUCAAGUUUAGAAGAAUUUAACUUACAUUCAUCUUAUGAUUGUGUCUGCAAGUUUGAUUCUUUAAUUAAUCUAACUAAUGGCAAGAGAAAGUGAUGUGUGCUAGAGGUGAACGGUUUAACGUCUGCUAUUGCCUAUUGACCACUUCAGUUAACAUAGUGUUGCCUGAAAUAAUUAGAAAACAUUCAGCUGUUUGUAACAUGAGUAGAAUGUGGACUGCUAGGAACUGUGAAUUAAACAGAUCAUGGAGAAUGGAUGGCAUUUUCAUGUAACAGGACUGAGUAUCAGUUUUAGCUUGAAAGUAUAUGCCAACUCUGUAGGUUCAAAUGACUUUAAGUAAUAAUAUGAGGAGCGAGCAUAGGAGGAGCUAUAACAUAUGAGCAUGAGGGAGGAUCAAAUGAUUAUAGUGUCUAUCAGCAUGGGUAAAAGAAAACUGACAACAACGCCACCACGUGCAAAAAUUAUAUUUGAUUGAUAUCACAACAAUAGAAUGUUGAAUAACAAUGUAACAUUAUCUUUUCAUUAGUUAAUCCAUUUGACUUCUGUCUGAUACAAUUGGCAUGAUAUUUGGACAGGAAAGUUAUUUGUUAACUUUGUAUCAUUUUUGUGUAAGCUAAUAAAUAAAUGCACUGUGCAUUUGCCUGCAAUUUCCAAGAAGUUUUCCCUAAUUUUGAAGUAAUUGUUUUCUAAAGAAUAAAUGCUGGGAAAAAGGGUCAUUGCAGUAAUUUUUUCCUGAAGUUUUGUCAUCUUGUAAAAUGAUAUGAAUAGAGGGUUCCCCGUUAAAAAAUAGAAUAGGCGCAGUCAAUAGCUGAAGUGGAAGCAUAUAACUGCCAAUUCAAAUUGUUUUCAUUCAGUAUGAUUGUCAUUGAGGAAAUAAACGAGACUAGGAAGUGCCUUCUCCAAUGAAUUCACAUACUUAUGGAUCUUUCUCGCCAAUUAGCAGUGUUUCAAUUAAGUAGGAUUGUUGUCAUGAUAUAUGAAUAUUUUUUUAACAUGUGUAAGGAGGGUAAUGCACGGAUUCCACUUCUUGGGUCAAGAUAAGAACAUGUUGUUUAGUAUGUCUACGUGGAUGGUGUGUUGUUAGAUGUCUACAUCGGUAUGUAGAAGGAAGUUUUGCAAUAACAAGGUAUUAUGUUACAACCUCUGAUUGGCAACGUUCCUCAAAUAUGCUGGUUGUUGUAUCCUUGGACAUAUAAAAGCUUUUUCCAUGAUUUUUCUUUCUGCGGUUUCAUAAACUGAACAAUCUUCACGAUGCACAAAGGACUUUUCAUCUUGAAAUUGUACUUCCAUUGAAACUUUAUCCUGCAACCAUAUAUCAUAAAGAGAAUGGUGGGAGAAUCCAGCUGACAUUCAGUUAGAAAUUGAAAAGGAAAAUAUAGCACCUCAAGGAGCCAGAAUAAAAUAAAUCGGAGAAUUGGAUGAGCCAAAGACAAGCAUAUUCAGUAAGUCUUCUUAGCAAGUUAUGUUCUUUCCCUUUCAUAAUUUUUUAUCUACAUGUCACAUGGAGGUGCUCUUAGGUGUAUGGACUGUUGGGUAUCUUUGCCUUUCUUCCUGGUUCCAUAUUGAGAUUUAUAUGCAGCUGUUUCAUCUUCCAGUAUCAACAUUGCCUUCUUCAAAUUCAGUGACCGUUCCUGUAAAAAAUCCCUUCUAGAAUGUAAAUAUGCACCGCGUAGUAGUAGCAUAUGACAGAUCUAUUGGUAGUAGACCAUAAUGAAAAGCAUUAAGAACAACCCGGUGCAUGUAGCUCCCGUUUGCACAGGAUCCGGAGAAGGGUCCGUCCACUUUGGGUGAAAAGCAUUAUGAAUUAAAAUUUACAGGUGUGAAUACUCUGAUUCAAAAUAAUUACCAUCCAUUCCACAUAUUUGUACUAUUUGGAACAGUUGAUUUGUAAGUGUCCAAAAUGCAUAUAAUUUUAUUUUGUACGCUCAACCUAGAUAUUACUAGCUUUUUAGAAUUAAAUGGAACUACAUAGUGAUUUCAGCUUCUAAGCAAUAUAUUUAUGUGCCUAUCUAACUAAUUCCCCUUCUAUUUGAAUCACAGGAAAUAGAGAGUUUACCGGGAUUCUGGGAGAAAAUCUACAUGGCAUCAUGAGGAAAGAGGAGUUGAAGUACGGCAUGGGAUACUAAAUAGUGUAAAUUGUACUUCUAUUUUCUUCUUCAAUUGGAUCUUUCUCUAUGGACCAAUUUAUAUCGUAUACUGAAAUCAUGUUAUAUUAAGAAGUAUCAUGAUAGAGUUAGCUUGUCCAAUGAAUCGAUAUGUUUAACAAUGGGAAUUGGGAGGAUUAAUUAGUUGAAUUAAUGUUCUUCUUUUAACCUAUUAGAGAUCAAAUGGAUGAAACAAUAUACUAUUAUCUUUAUUACAUGGCAACAUGAUUCCACGCUGUUCA
This 2597-nucleotide long non-coding RNA is filed under the name Triticum aestivum (bread wheat). RNAcentral's name for it is "long non-coding RNA (TAES_LNC010161)". The record is from RNAcentral. Lineage: Eukaryota; Viridiplantae; Streptophyta; Magnoliopsida; Poales; Poaceae.